AGUUGGUCCAAAGGUAGUGAGUUAUAUCCAUUGAUUGUUCACAGUCAGUUACAAAUUGAACUGCUUAUUCCAUCUACCUUUUCCCCACUUCUAAACGAUCACACUUCAU
RNAcentral lists this small RNA (109 nucleotides) under Saimiri boliviensis boliviensis (Bolivian squirrel monkey). Its description in RNAcentral is "Y RNA (ENSSBOG00000015141.1)". The record is from RNAcentral. Lineage: Eukaryota; Metazoa; Chordata; Mammalia; Primates; Cebidae.